UCGUCGGCCAGGCGGGUCAGGUCAUCCUCGGUGCCGGCGGCGUCGGGGGCGGUCGCUAUGCCGAUGCUCACACCGAUCGAUGCGGUGCCGUCGCGC
RNAcentral lists this transfer RNA (96 nucleotides) under Devosia equisanguinis. RNAcentral describes it as "Devosia sp. M6-77 tRNA-Ala". The record is from RNAcentral. Lineage: Bacteria; Pseudomonadati; Pseudomonadota; Alphaproteobacteria; Hyphomicrobiales; Devosiaceae.